This is an RNA transcript of Toxotes jaculatrix (banded archerfish), 4792 nucleotides long. It is a transcript of the gene named Fanconi anemia group A protein, with no coding region annotated. Lineage: Eukaryota; Metazoa; Chordata; Actinopteri; Toxotidae. The record is from RefSeq and is a predicted model, not a curated record. The transcript has 43 exons.
UGGAGGAUAAGAAGAAACAUGACAGCGUAGAGGCAGCUUGAACAAACAAACCGGGGGUGAAUGCAGCCAAUAAGCGCAAUUAAAACACCGUUAAUGUGUUAAUUUGAAUGUGUUAAAUGUUAAGUGGCCGAGACGCGGACUUUCUGCCGAAGAUUUUUUUUUUAAACAUUCAGCCAAAGUAAAAUGUCAGUGAGCGCAUCGUGUGAACCGGUCUCUCAGGAGAGGACUCUGUCGAGUCUCCUCGCCAGCCGUGUGGUGAAGAGGCCGAAGCAGGAAGAUGGUCAGUGGCUGCAGGAAGCAGCGAUCCAGCUGCUGGAACAGCAGCAGAACCUCUGCAGUCUGCUCAGGGAGGUCGGGAAUCUGGAGCCGUGCAAAAAGGUCUGCAUUCAGAGUGGAGAGCAGAAACCAGCAGCGUCUGAAGGCAUCUCAUCUGCCGCUGCAGGGUCACUGCUGGUGUGUGAGCUGAGGCGUCAGGCCACGCAGCUGGGUGUCCCGGUGGCGGUGCUGUCAGUGAAGACGACGCUGCAGAGACUGAUGGAGAUCACUAGGACUGAAGAAGAGGAGGAGGACGAGGACAAGAGGAGAGAGCUGCUCACUUCCUCUCAGAGAGUCCAGCUGUGUGUCCUGCUGGAGUCCAGCAAAGAGCUGCUGUCACAGGGAGCCCUCUGCCCCAAGCUGCUCUGGCAGGAGUACAGGAGAGAUAAGAGGCUACCCAAGCUGGAGGUGGUGUACCACCUCCAGCUGUACGACAUCCUCACUCUGAAGUACAUUUUAGAGAAUGAUGAAGGCUUGAGGCUUUGGUUGGUGUCUCAGCUGAAGGCUCUGUGCAGCUGGACACCUCCACAGGGAGAAGAGGACACCAGACUAGUUCAACAGAAAGUGAUGUCAUUGGUAGUUGGAGUGUUGGUGGGAUCUGGCUUUGAGCUGAGCCACGAGCCUGCAGGUCCAGACAGGAGGAUCUCCCUGCUCUGCUGCUCCGUACUCGAUGAAAUGCUCUUCUGGCUUCUAGACACUGUGGACAAGAGUCGUACGCUGCAGUCUGCUGGAGCGGGAGCUGAGCUUUGGAUUCAGAUAUUUGACGCUUCGUUGUGUGGAGUCUCAGCAUCAGCGUCAGCCCUUCAGCGUUUCUUCACUCACUCCCUCACACAGACACUCACGUACAAGCCUCAGCUGACAGUGUCAGACGCCAUCACGCUGCAGAACGAGUGGACGUUUGCUAAAUCCAGUCCAUUGUUGACGUCUCUUUUCCGUAAGCUGGCUGUGAUCUUCAGCGUGGAGCUGCUGCUGCGUCACCUGCAGCAGGUUUUGGAAACGCACGAGGUCAACUGGAAACACGUCCUGUGCUUCCUGUCCACUCUGCUGGUGUACAACCCCUGUGCCCAGCCCUGCCUCAGAGAGCUGCUGUCCAGACUGCUGAGCUCUGCGUUUGAAGGCUAUGACUUAGAGAACAUGAUAACCGCCUUCUUGUUGGCUCGACAGGGAGCGCUGGAGGGAACCGGCAUCUUCCCCUCCUACAGCGACUGGUUCAAGAUGUCCUUUGGUGGUGGCAGUAGUCACCAUGCAACAAGUAAGAAAUCUCUGGUGUUCCUGCUGAAGUUCCUCUCUGACCUGGUUCCUUUUGAACCCCCACAGUACCUCAAGGUUCAUCUCCUCCACCCUCCGUACAUACCUGUGAAACAUCGCAGCCUCCUGAUGGAGUACAUCUCUCUGGCCAAGACCAGGCUGGCUGACCUCAAGGAGUCAGUGGAGGACAUGGGCUUAUAUGAGGAUAUAUCUGGUGCAGUUGGAGCAGCAGUGCAGCCCCAGUGUCAGGCUGCUCAGGAUGUGGAGAAGGCAGUGUCUCUGUUUGAGAGCACAGGAAGAAUCUCUCCCACAGUCAUGGAGGCCAGUAUUUUCCGGAGGCCAUAUUUCCUGACACGGUUCCUCCCUGCUCUGCUGACGCCAAGAGUGCUUCCUGUCAAAGCUGAUGCUCGGAUGAAUUUCAUAGAGGCUUUGAAAAAAGCAGACAAGAUCCCUGCUGCCCAGUAUUCAUCUUACGUGGAGUCUUGCCAGAGACAGAGACAGCAGGACAGGAGUGCUGUGUGUUUGGACAGCAGUGAUGAUCCUCUGGAGGUCCUGAAAGUUCAGCUGCAGGAGCUCACACAGCUGGUUGCUGAUGGAAAUGAUGGAGAGAUGUCGGCCCAGCUGUCCAGGACCUCACACACACUGGGUGUCAUCUUCCCCGGCCGUCCUGAUGAGCUUACUGGACAAGCAGUCAUCAAACUUCACAUGGACGCUCCUCCGUCCUCCGAGCUCCAUGUCAAAGCCAUCAGCAUGAUCCUGAGGAGCUUCUGUCAGUGCAUGUUGGACGCCUCGCGAGCAAACCCUCCUAAUAAACAAAGCCCGUGGGCCUCCAGGUUUGUCAGUGUUCUGCUUGGCAACGCACAGCUGCUCUCCAGCCUCAUACACAGACUCUGGGACCUAUUUCAUAACCAGGGGUCAUCGCUGAGCGCUGCCCACGUGCUCGGCCUGGCAGCCUUUGUGGUCCACCUCCACGCCUCCAUGUCCCACAGUCCUCUGAUUCAGCUGGUCCCCCCUGUUCUGCCCAAACCGGUACCUGUCGGAGACGCUCUCAGCUCAGCGCUGGUCUGCAGCACACGCUCCAACAUGCUCUUCUGUGUCAAGUUUUGUGUUGCAGCUGUGUGUUAUGGGAUCUGCAGAGGCGACUCGCUGCCUCAGCAGCAGCAGCAGGACCACAUUCUCAGCAGCCUCUAUAAGAAGCUUCUGUACCUCAUCCCGAGACUGUUGCCUGAAGCCAGAAGGCGUCCCAUCAGUGCUGAGGGUCUGGUGGGUGAACACCAGGAGAUGGACCUGCCUGAGCUGUGGAGCAGUGCCACAGACGGCAGCAGCACCUGGAGGAGGACUGCCUGCUAUCUGUGGAGGCUCGCUGCUUUUCACCAGCUGCAACACACACCACGCUAUCAGUUGUCGUUCUCUGAAUGGCUGGCUGAUGAGCUCAGAGUACAGAGGAGUGAAGACGCGCUGUCUGACCCGGAACGUCAUGAGUACCAGCGGUGGGCCUGCCUGGAGCUGUACUGGUCUCGUCCAGAAGAGCAGGGAGGCUGUGGAGGAGACAUGAAACGUCUCUGUUCUCACCUCCUCAGCGCCAUCAUGGACCAGCAGUGCAGUUACCAGAGCCUGGAAAAGCUGGAUCACCCAGGGUCGGACACAGGGACCUGUCUGCCGGACAUCCUGUCCAGAUUACAGGAGCUGGUCUACGAGAUGGAACUGACCAACCUGUCCGGUAGCUGGAGCCGCAGAGCUGAGGUGUGUGACUUCCUGUUUGAGUUUGUGUGUCAGAGAUGCUCCUCUACCACAAGCUCAGGGUCACUCGGUGUCAGCUCUGAGCUCAGCCUGCAACACACACUGAGCACGUGGAACAGAGUGCUGCUGGCUCUCCCAGCUGUGCUGUUUGUUAAGGUGAAGUCUGAGGGAGGGAGGACGACUCUGGACUGUAACAGGCUGAUGGAACAUGUCAACCAGCAUCAGAGGAAAGUGUGUUCUCCAGCCGGCCUGAUGUCCUGCCACGUCACAGCACACUUCCUGAGGGGUGUGUUAUGUGCCAGUGUAUGCUGUGGAUGUCCCAGGGAAGAAGUCAACAAGGCCUGGUCCCAGAUCGGUCUUCAUUGUCCCCUGCUCCUGACCUCCACAGUGCACUGGUGGGAGUGUCUGUCUCCCAUGCUGUUGUCCCUGUGGAGUCGUCUGUGUGAUGGACAGCCUCUGCCAGAGCAGCUGAAGCUCAUCGCUGACUGUCAGCACUGGGCUUACAGUUUAGAAAACGGCCCGUCGCCGCCUGCGGCUCCAGCUCUGCUGUUGGCGUCCAGCCUGCACUGUGCUUGGCGAGGCCGUGGGGGGGGCGACCAGGGCGUCACUGCAGCCCUGAAGGUGCUGCGCCCAGAGAGGAGCAAACAGCACCGACAGGUUCUUGUUUUUCUGCUUUUCCUGUGUGUGAACGACCAUCUGUCAGCACUCCUGUACCCUCAGGAGAACAGUGAUCAGAAAGCCAGGAGUCUAUGCACAGACCUUCUGUCUGUGUUGGUGGACUCUGCAGACUGGCUGCUCAUCUUUAAAUCAGAUGAACGAGGUGUUUAUCGGUCGGUUUCCAUGGUGACGUCAGAGGAGUUUAUUCGGCUAAUGCCUUGGGCUUUCUACAGCCUGCUGCUCCAGCAGAGUGCUGAGCUGCUGCAGAGAGCUGUGUGUGGUCCAGGGUUCCUUCAUACUGCCGUCCUCUGCUACAUCAGUCUGCUGCAGCUGUUCCUGGACGGACACACGCCUACACCGAGCUCCGAGCCCUCUGAAAGGCAGGUGCGUGAGCCUCAGUCGGAGCCUUCCUGGACUCUGAGCCACACCAAGCAGUUUCUUCUCAGAGCGAUCGCCCAGUCGUCUCCUGCUGCUCUGUCCUCCAGCCAAAUCAGACAGCUGGAGUCCCAGUGUACAGACCUGGACCCAGAAGUGGCAGCGGCGCUCUCUGCGCUCCACAGCCCUCACAGCCUCAGCCCAGAGAUGGACUUCCUGUGAACAGCAGAGGACUGAUGCUGGGGCCAGGGGACUGGCUGAAGACACCUGGUUACUGCAGACUCGUCUCCUCUGACAGUGACUGAGGACACAAGUCCACACUGUCAGAAGGAGACAGAUCUGCGUCCGUGGGUCUCUCCAGUGGGCUCUGGACGUCUACAAUCAGCUCCAUGACACUCAAAGCAGCUUUGUCACGUAAAUGUCUGGUUUUGUAGGAUUAAAGGUGCAAAAACUUUGU